AACGUAGGUUCCGAGCGUUAUCCGGAUUUACUGGGCGUAAAGCGCGUUCAGGCGGUUUGGCAAGUCGGGCAUGAAAUCUCUCGGCUCAACCGGGAGAGGUUGUCCGAUACUUCCAGACUUGAGGGCAGUAGAGGGUGGUGGAAUUCCGGGUGUAGUGGUGAAAUGCGUAGAUAUCAGGAGGAACACCGAUGGCGAAGGCAGGUCACUGGGCCGCAACUGACGCUGAGGAGCGAAAGCAUGGGGAGCGAACAGG
This 253-nucleotide ribosomal RNA is filed under the name uncultured bacterium. RNAcentral describes it as "partial 16S ribosomal RNA". It matches the Rfam family "Bacterial small subunit ribosomal RNA", at positions 524 to 776 of the family's 1533-position model. The record is from RNAcentral.